AUUUAAUAUCUACACCCCCCUGUCGACGACGUCUUCCAAUUUCACACCCCUAAGAAGCAUGUUUUUAUAAGUCCCCUCGGAAAUUCGUCAGAAUUUUGAAAGCCCUUCAGAAAUUUGAUGUUUUCUUCUAUAUUCUUAAGGAAACUAAGUGACCCCUCUGAAAUACCCCUGUCGACGACGUCACCAAUUUUUCCACCCUUCGGAAUUGUUUUUGAAUGAUUUUGUGACCCUUCGGAAAAUGUCGUCGACAGCCCUAAUUUUCGUGACCAUUCGGAAAAUGUCGUCGACAGCCCGUCCAGCUUUUCGCCUAUUUGCUGAAGGGCUCGGAAAUUUCGCUGAUUAGCGAAAACCCUCAAGAAAAUGCGAUUUUUUUGUUCCCUUCGGAAAUUACCAUUUUUAGAACCCCUAAGAAAUACAAAUUUUCAGGACCCCUCCGAAGACGUCGUCGACAGGGGGGUGUAGAUAUUAAAUGGAAUGGCCCUUUCAAAUUCUCGCAUGAAA
Non-coding RNA from Paramuricea clavata, 501 nucleotides. The record is from the annotation of a GenBank genome assembly. Lineage: Eukaryota; Metazoa; Cnidaria; Anthozoa; Malacalcyonacea; Plexauridae.